ACCAAGAAGUCUGACAUGUGUGCGACUCAACGGGCGAGUAAACCCGUAAGGCAUAAGGAAGCUGAUUGGUGGGAUCCCCCUAAGGGGUGCACCGCCGAUCGACCUUGAUCUUCUGAGAAGGGUUCGAGUGUGAGCAUACCUAUCGAGACUCGAAAGAUGGUGAACUAUGGCUGAGCGGGGCAAAGCCAAAUAAAAUUCUAGUGGAGGCCCGCAGCGAUACUGACGUGGAAAUCGUUUGUCUUACUUGGGUAUAGGGGCGAAAGACUAAUCGAACCGUCUAGUAGCUGGUUCCCUCCGAAAUUUCCCUCAGGAUAGGUGGAGCUCGCAUGCGUGUUAUAUCAGGUAAAGCCAAUGAUUAGAGGCCUCGGGUGCGCAACGCCCUCGACCUAUUCUCAAACUUUAAAUAGGUAGGACGGCACGACUGCUUUGUUGAGCCGCGCAACGGAAUCAAGAGCUCCAACUUGGCCAUUUUUAGUAAGCAGAACUGGCGAUGCGGGAUGAACCGGAAGCCGGGUUACGGUGCCAAACUACGCGCUAACCUAGAUCCCACAAAGGGUGUUGGUCGAUUAAGACAGGACGGUGGUCAUGGAAGUGGAAAUCCGCUAAGGAGUGUGUAACAACUCACCUGCCGAAUCAACUAACCCCGAAAAUGGAUGGCGCUUAAGCGCACGACCUACACCCGACCGUCGGGGCAAGUGCCCUGCCCCGAUGGUUAGGAGGGUGCGGUAGGUGCUGCAAAAACUAGGGCAUGAGCCUGGGUGGAGCGGCCGUCGGUGCAGAUUUUGGUGGUAGUAGCAAAUAUUCAAAUUAGAACUUUGAAGGCCGAAAAGGGGAAAGGCC
RNAcentral lists this ribosomal RNA (840 nucleotides) under Solanum tuberosum (potato). Its description in RNAcentral is "rRNA LSU_rRNA_eukarya". It matches the Rfam family "Eukaryotic large subunit ribosomal RNA", at positions 665 to 1508 of the family's 3401-position model. Lineage: Eukaryota; Viridiplantae; Streptophyta; Magnoliopsida; Solanales; Solanaceae. The record is from RNAcentral.